Ictidomys tridecemlineatus (thirteen-lined ground squirrel) is the source of this 2084-nucleotide non-coding RNA. Lineage: Eukaryota; Metazoa; Chordata; Mammalia; Rodentia; Sciuridae. The record is from RefSeq and is a predicted model, not a curated record.
CAUUGUAGAGGUCCCGCUGGCCUUCAAGACACAGUUUGGCAGGAAGAAGUCUUUAGCCAAGCCUUCAUGAAUUAGCAAGUUGGGAGCUGAAGCCAACCGGGGACGGACCAGACCCACCCCUCCCUUCGGACACUCCCGCAAGGAGCCUGGGGCCUGCCAUAGCAGAGAGGUGAUGUCAUCGGAGUUCGGCCGACGGAAUUCCUUCCCAGCAGAAUCCACUUUAGCAGGUCUCUUUCCCCCUACAAGUGGAAAAGCGUCUAUUUAUGGAUUUGAGAUUACAAAAGAUAUGUUUCAUAUUCGAAGGAGUCUGGGUUUCUGUCCACAAAAUGAUCUUUUGUUUGAUUAUUUAACAGUAUUUGAACACCUUUACUUUUUUGCCCAGGUGGUGAUGUUAGAUGAGCCAACCACUGGAAUGGAUCUGGUCUCAAGGAGAGCCACCUGGGAUCUCCUUCAGCAGAAAAAAAAAUGGCCGUACCAUCCUGAUUACCACUCAUUAUAUGGAUGAAGCAGAUCUUCUGGGUGACCGGGUUGCCAUCAUGGCCAAAGGGGACUUGCAGUGCUGUGGCUCUUCAUUGUUCCUCAAGCAAAAAUAUGGUGCAGGAUACCACAUGGUCAUAGUGAAAGAACCAUAUUGUAAAGCUGGAGAAAUUGCCUGUCUUAUAUAUCAUUAUGUACCAAGUGCCAUUUUGGAGAACAAUAUUGGAGCUGAAUUAUCAUUUAUUUUACCUAAAGAGUACGUAAAUAGGUUUGAAACUUUGUUCGCUGAGCUGGAAAAUCAUGGAGUAAAGCUGGGCAUUGCCAGUUUUGGUGCUUCUAUCACAACCAUGGAAGAAGUCUUCCUUAACCAUAAACAGUCCAUCAUAGUGUGAAAACCCUUGGUGUGACAACCCUUCAGAUGUCUAAAGAUUUGUCAGUGAAUCAGCUACUGCCCCCCAUAUAACCCCUUGCUGGAACACUUAACAGGGUAUGAGAUGCUGGCCUUGCAUGCCUAUUUGAGAGGAGUUCCCAAGCAAUAUAUUCCUGCUUAUGUUAAAAACAUACUAAGAGCACUUCUCCUGGAUGCCUUUGCAGAUGAACUCAUCAAAAACUACAGUGGUGGCACCAAGCAUAAGCUAAGUACAGGUAUUGCCCUGCUGGGAAGGCCUGACAUCAUCUUCCUCAAUAAGCCAUCUUCUGGCAUGGAUCCUGUGGCCCGACGCUUCUUCUGGGACACAGUCUUAUGGACCCGUGAGUCCAGCAAGGGUAUUGUCCUAAUCUCCCAUAGGUGUGGCCCAUAUCUUGAUUGAGGGAUGGAGAGGAGGGGAGUACCAUGGAGACUUGGUUGAUUCUAAGAACAUAGGACAGUAAUGACUUUGCCAGGGUCUUUUGAUACCUCAGAGAAUUUACAGUAAAUGACUCUUUCCAGAGGAAACAUUUGAGGAUCCUUGGAUGAGAUCUUUGCAAUAGUAUGUCCAAAAGUAGGGAAGUAGAAAUAGGUUGAGACUGACUAUACUAUAGAUUUAAGCUUCUGACACUUGGUUCUUGUUUUUAUUUUAUCUAUACAGAAUAUAUCUGAUCCCUUAUUUACUUUCUUUUUGAAUACCAAUAAUACUAGAACAUAGUCCUUUAGAAUCUUAGUCUUUACCCUGCCAUGGUGGGCCUCUCCAGCCCUAUCUUUUUCUGGCUCCUUGUAUGGAAGAAUGUGAGGCCCUGUGUUUGAGACUGGCCAUUAUGGUAAAUGGGAAGUUCAAGUGCCUAGGCAGUCCACAGUAUUUCAAGAACAAGUAUGGAAGUGGAUACACUGUACUAGCCAAAACCAAGAGAGAUAAGCAGACAGAAAUGCAAGAGCUCAAGACAUUCAUCAAAACAACCUUUCCAGGUACUGGAGCUCAGGCACAACCUUCCUAAUCAAGCUUCUGUUGAGACACAGAGUUCCCAAGCUUUCCACCCCAAUGAUGUAGAAAUAAGACCCUCAGCAACCCCUCUGUCAUUAAGCAAUUACAGUGCUUUCUUCUCUUUGUGACUCCAUAACCACAAAAUAAUUAUUAAUGUACUAACUGUUGAUUUCAGUUUUUAAUAUCUCCCUGUGCCAGUCACAGUGGAAC